UCAGAAAAAUCUUCCUUCCCAGUCUCGCGUGUUUCCACAACGGGGAUCGUAUAUUCAAUAACUAACGCUGCUUUCAAGCACGUCUUGCCUCAAGUUUCCCGGAUAAAAGUCACGUGACCUCGGCAACAAUAAUACACGUAGAUACGCAACGACCGUGCGAUCAUAACAAUCCUUGAUGCGAAAGUAAGUACCUCGGGAGACGUCGUACAGUGUUGUGUAGUGCCCGUUCUUAUGAACAAAAAUUGAUAUUUGAAAUCUAUUCGUCCAUAUCGAUUUAAAAUUUUACAUAUAUACAUACGUGAAAACAGUGUUUCCCUUAUAAUCACUAGCCAACUACGUAAAACAAUUAAGAUAGUUAUUGAGAAGGGAAUAUGUCAAUUGCGGAAAAAAAAAUUAAAUCCUCUGUCGUUCUGCGUAUAAAAGUAUUAGAAUAAAAACAUCGAAAAGUCCUGUCGAGAAAAAACAUCGUAGUAUUCGAUUUACGAUUGUUUACACGCAACUCACGAGUAUACCUGCUAAAUAUUAGGCUGCUAUUGCGCGCUUUUCGUGACAUCAUCAAGUGCCGUUAAAAUCAUUGUGAUCGCGAGUGCAGUGUAGCGAGUGAGUGCAAUCGAUGUGGGACGACGCUAUGGAGGCUAGAAAACUGGACUAGCUACUAGGAAUCUUGAAUGGAACGAGCUGACUUCCCGGCAGCUCGGACGAACGGAAGGUCAAACGGGAGCGAAUAACGGAUGGCACUCCGCCGAGCGAGAUCGAUAUACACAACGAUACCGGCGAUAUAUCCAGCGGUAAAUGCCCCGCGAGUCGCAAUCUUCGGUCCGAAUACGCCCAUAAAAAUGUCGUUUCCGCGAGGCGAAACGAGCAGAUUGCGAGCAUUAUGUAUUCCGAGGAACGCGUUAGCGUGUGUAAAGUAAUCACGAUGCCCGUGUACCCUGCCUCGUAAUGAGAACGAUUACGUGUGAGAAACUCCGUAAUACGUACAACUAUCGUGAUAUUUCUUCGACUUUCGCGUCUGAAGAGUGAAACAGAAGUUUAACGAUUGCAUAUCCAUCUGCGAGUAGCUGAGAAUCGCAUCGAUUUCGAAACACCAUUCGUAAGUGAAUAUUAUCGAUCAACGUACGUACAUCGAGCUAAAUUUGUACAUAUUUGUUGUACAUCAUAUUUUCGUCGUUACAUUUUACACACACGAGUAUAUAUACGUUGACCAUUCGUUGCAUUUGUUAUGUGCGCAUCCAUGGUGUGCGGUUACCAUUACAGAAACCGCGGAAACACGAGCGGCGCAUCGCGAACGCGAUCAUUUCCGCGAAAAAGCGCUGAGGAAGAUUCAUGCGCGUGCGAGCGAACACCGCGUCCAUUCUCCGGCGUCCUUUGUUGCACUCAGAAUAGGAGCCAUGUAUCAUUUUCGUUCGAAUAAUAGCUAAUUGCGCCGUGGAUUCGUUUACUCUCGAGUGUAAGGCUCAGAGCCGUUGUUGCGUUCUGCUGGCUGCACGUACCGCGGCUUCAAAGGGAAAGAGAGAAAUGUCUGUGGGAACGGGGAAAAUGACGGUGGCUGUAGGAAAUAUCGGACUGGAGCGAGUAGAUGUGCGUUAUUAUUUAUUGCUCGUACAAAACUCUCUCUCUCUCUCUCUCCCUCUCUCUCUUUCCCCUCCUUCCUCCCCAUUCCUUCUCAUUUUGUAAAAGUAUAGGCGACGCUUUGCAAAAACGUUUUUGACGAAAUUUGUAGCGAUCGUUACGGCUUCUACUUGAAGUUUGUCGAAGCUCACAGAGGAAAGUUUUUAGAAGCGUACUUAAGAGCUUUUAGUAGUUCGCCGGUAUUUUGUUCUUUCUUUGGAAAACAGGAAAUAUGUAUUGGAGAAUGUAAGCGCGUGUCUUACAGCGUUUAUUAUAACGCGCGCAUGAAACUUCUCAGGACUCUUGCGGCUUUUGCGGCCCUCGAUUUCGUACGUGACGUGUAUAUUAACACUUGCAAUGUUUUAUAAACGCCGGAGACUCGAUUAGAUAAGAUCGUUUCCUACCAAUCUUCAGCUCUACUUGAUAACUGCCGAGCGCGAGAGGAAGAGUCGUCAGAAAGAAGAAAUGUGGAAUAGGUCGGCAAGUAAAUCCGUUAUUGUUUAUUACUACACUACACUCGUUAUUAUUUGUAACAGGUCUUUACCGCUCGACGCUGCAUGUCAUAGAGCGAGAUUUAAAGAUGAAUCUGCCACAGAUAUAAAAAGUUAUCUCUGCAAAAAUGCUCCGACCCCGGGCAACAUUUGCGCGCGACUAUCAACAUGAUGUCUUUCUCCGGAAUUAAAGAACUAAAUUAAAGAACUAGACUAAAAUCCAUCGUAUUUAUGUAAAUUGUAGCGAUUACAAUGGAACAACGUUAUUUUAUAAAUACAGAAUCAAAUAGUACGUUUCAUAAAAUGUUUCAGAGAAUAUUCGUAACGGCAGUUCUGUAAAAACUAUUUAAAUUUUAUUUGUCAGAUAAUUUUUACAAUUUUAUUUGUUAAUAAUUUUUAUAUAUCAAUGAAAUAAAUGGUUAUAUAACGGAGACUGCAUUCAUACACUGAGAGAAAAAAAUAUCCAAUAAAAAGAUUCUAUUCGGUAUGAGUGCCAAUAAUACAUUUAAGUACAUUUUCUCAAAACCUUAGCCUCUCAUAAAAGUAAUUGUUCUAUUUAUAUGAGAAAAUUUAAAUUUAAAUAAAUAUGUCAUUAGCACGUAUUAAAUAAACAUU
Molecule: long non-coding RNA, 2717 nt
Organism: Odontomachus brunneus
Lineage: Eukaryota; Metazoa; Arthropoda; Insecta; Hymenoptera; Formicidae
Exons: 5
Source: RefSeq, a predicted model, not a curated record